Neopsephotus bourkii (Bourke's parrot) is the source of this 704-nucleotide long non-coding RNA. RefSeq lists it as uncharacterized. The transcript is spliced from 2 exons. The record is from RefSeq and is a predicted model, not a curated record. NCBI's taxonomy places the organism in Eukaryota, Metazoa, Chordata, Aves, Psittaciformes, Psittacidae.
UUUUAUAUGCAGAAGGAGUGUAAACCCCACCAUCAGACUGAAGAACUUUUGUUGCAUGUUUCUGCAUCAUUACUGAGGUUUUGCAACAGUUUUCUGUAUGAAGACGUUCCUAAAAUAACUGUAUGGUUCCUGCAUCUUGUCCAUAGCUGUAUCAGGAGAGGCGUAGGAGGUGUCAACAAAACCACUAGGUGAAUUUGAAUAUCUAAUUGGUGUAGUGGGAGCUUUGUUAAUUAUUUGCAAGAAUGUAACUAUUCUAAAAUGUGUUUAAGAUACAGCUUCCAUGUUUAAUUCUUGUUGUGAUCUUCUGUUGCAGACAAAAUGAUGGCACUGAGGAAAUUACCAGGCCACCCACCAAAGGCACUUGCUCUCCCAUGAGUGGAUCAUUUUCUCAUUCUUAUGCUGACUCUGUCAUGGCUUAUGCUUGUAGUUGUUGCAAGACCAGAUGAAAAAUUGAAGAAUGGAAGGAAUGCACAAAGAAACACUGCACUCUUCCCCUAGAGAGUAUAUAUCAUAGAAGCAGCUUUUGAUUGUAUUGUCCCAUUGCUCAUGUUGAGACCAAUAUCUAAAAAUAGAAAUCUCAUUAAUAAAGAUAAAUAAGUGGCAUGUUUAACACAAUCAAAUUAAAUGUAUAAGUCUCAAGCAAAGAUCCUCUUAACAGUGUUAAUUCAUUAAACUACAGGUGGUCUCACCAUGAGGGCAUUAUA